RNAcentral lists this long non-coding RNA (523 nucleotides) under Cyanistes caeruleus (blue tit). Its description in RNAcentral is "lncRNA (ENSCCEG00000013131.1)". Lineage: Eukaryota; Metazoa; Chordata; Aves; Passeriformes; Paridae. The record is from RNAcentral.
CACCUCAGCUGUUUCUCUGGAUUCCCUUGCUGUUUCUUGGUACCAUCUGGUUUUGGGGGCAGCUUUGCUCACAUCUUUUCUUUUUGGAUUUGCAGAUCUUCCAGCAAGCUCUUCCAUCCUGCUCGGUCUCUGUGUCUGCUCCUUCCAGGAGCCAGUUUCUCUGCAUGUUCCACAGGGCAGCAGAAAUUAGAGGACAAUAAAAUCACAGCUAAGUGCACCAUAUUCAUCAUGUAAUACCUUUUAUCCUUUCCUGGAACUGGCUUUGGCACGCAUGGUUUCGCAAAACUGCCUCGGUGACAGGAGUGAUAUUUUGAUCUGCUUCUGGCAGUGGACUUACUGGAGCCUGGAGAUCGUAAUGCCACUGGAGCAGCACUCUUUUAGGAGGAGAAUGAUGUUUGUUGUGUUUUGCUACUUUUUCCCCUCAGUGAACCAUAGACAUGCUAAUUGUAAGGGUCAGAGAAAUGGGGUGCCUGUGAGGUGCAGAGUCUCCCCAGUGACUCGGUGCUUUUGCAUGGGUUGGUGA